Cryptomeria japonica (Japanese cedar) is the source of this 689-nucleotide long non-coding RNA. RefSeq lists it as uncharacterized. The record is from RefSeq and is a predicted model, not a curated record. NCBI's taxonomy places the organism in Eukaryota, Viridiplantae, Streptophyta, Pinopsida, Cupressales, Cupressaceae. The transcript is spliced from 3 exons.
UUCAUAGCAUUGCUUUCAGUGAGUUGGUGUGAUCGAAGCAGUUUUGCAUUUCUCAUUGUAUUUGUAUAGAAAAGAAGAAGUGUGCAAUAUGUCUGGCAGUGACAGUGCCUGUGAGGCUGCUGAUCGUGCAAAAGCUUUUGGGCAGGAGAAGAGCUACCAAGCUCAACAACAUGCCCAAGGUGUGAAGGAGAGUGCUGAGGAAAAGGCUUCACAGUUCUCCCUGCAGAGCGAGGAGAAAGCAGGAGGAACUCCUGAAAUGGUUAAGGAAUAAACUGGCUCUAUAUACUAACAGGCUGGGGAGAAGGUGAAGGGAGUGAUGCAGGGAGCAACAGAAACUGGGUAUGUUUAUCUCUGGUUUUAAUUUGAGCAGUGUAGUGGCCAUUGUUCAGUGUUGACUAGUAGAAGAUGUUUCAGUACUGCUCAUCUGCUUGCGUUUGUUUUGUUCUUGUGUAUAAUAAAAAUGGGUUGUUGUUCUGUAGACAAUUCUUCAUCAAUAUCAAUCAUUUUUUGUCAAUCAGUUUUAUGUCAGAUCAUCAGUGUCUCAUCUUUUUAUUCAAAAGAUGUGAGAUGAAGAUGAAUCCCAAGUGGGGAUGUAUAGGUUGUUGCAGAUUGAAUGAUUGGAAGUUAAGAAUUUGUAUUUGAUUCACAAUAUUUUUUUGGAUUGAGAAAUAUAUUUAAGUUUUUAUUGA